RNAcentral lists this ribosomal RNA (565 nucleotides) under Dehalococcoidales bacterium. Its description in RNAcentral is "bacterial LSU rRNA". It matches the Rfam family "Bacterial large subunit ribosomal RNA", at positions 1 to 530 of the family's 2925-position model. The record is from RNAcentral. Lineage: Bacteria; Bacillati; Chloroflexota; Dehalococcoidia; Dehalococcoidales.
AGGUCAAGCGGGAAAAGGCGCACGGUGGAUGCCUUGGUAUCAAGGGCCGAAGAAGGGCGUGGUAAGGCUGCGAUAAGCCUCGGCGAGCUGUCUAGCAAGCCUAGCCGGGGAUUCCCGAAUGGGGCAACCCGUUCUUCCAAAAGAAGGACACCCCCAGCUGAACACAUAGGCUGGGAGGAGGUAAGCAGGGGAAGUGAAACAUCUCAGUACCCUGAGGAAAGGAAAUUAUUCCCCAAGUAGUGGCGAACGAAAGGGGAGAAGCCCAAACCAUAUGAGCUAAGUGGUUCUGAGGCCUAGGCUUAUAUGGUGUUGUAAGGCAGGUAGGGCCCGGCUCAGAGAGGGCCAAGGAGUUACAAACCGAACCCUAGCUGAAGGUUACUGGAAGGGGCAACCACAGAGGGUGACAGUCCCGUAGGCUAAAGGGGGAGGCUCCUUACCUGUUCUUGAGUACCACGGGACACGAGAAAUCUUGUGGGAAUCUGCUCUGACCACAGGGCAAGGCUAAAUACCCUUGAUGACCGAUAGUGAACUAGUACCGUGAGGGAAAGGUGAAAAGUACCCCGGG